AGAACGAACGCUGGCGGCAUGCCUAACACAUGCAAGUCGAACGAGACCUUCGGGUCUAGUGGCGCACGGGUGCGUAACGCGUGGGAACCUGCCCUUAGGUUCGGAAUAACUCCUCGAAAGGGGUGCUAAUACCGGAUGAUGUCUUCGGACCAAAGAUUUAUCGCCUAUGGAUGGGCCCGCGUUGGAUUAGCUAGUUGGUGAGGUAAAGGCUCACCAAGGCGACGAUCCAUAGCUGGUCUUAGAGGAUGAUCAGCCACACUGGGACUGAGACACGGCCCAGACUCCUACGGGAGGCAGCAGUGGGAAUAUUGGACAAUGGGCGAAAGCCUGAUCCAGCAAUGCCGCGUGAGUGAUGAAGGCCGUUAGGUGUAAAGCUCUUUACCGGGAUGAUAAUGACAGUACCGGAGAAGUAACGCCCGACUAACUCCGUGCCAGCCAGCCGC
This 443-nucleotide ribosomal RNA is filed under the name uncultured soil bacterium. RNAcentral describes it as "bacterial SSU rRNA". It matches the Rfam family "Bacterial small subunit ribosomal RNA", at positions 26 to 518 of the family's 1533-position model. The record is from RNAcentral.